Molecule: long non-coding RNA, 2138 nt
Organism: Beta vulgaris subsp. vulgaris (sugar beet)
Lineage: Eukaryota; Viridiplantae; Streptophyta; Magnoliopsida; Caryophyllales; Amaranthaceae
Exons: 2
Source: RefSeq, a predicted model, not a curated record
UGAAUAAUUAUACAUCACUUUGUUGGUUGUAUCUAUGUCGCAUCCAUACUCUUUAAACUUUUUAAAAAAAUAAACGCAAAUAAUUAACAUCCCGUGCAGUUCUGCACGAGUGUUAAACUAGUUCUUCAUAUAGAGGAAGUUUGUCAUACAAUCAUUUGACCGCCUCAAGACCAUAAGCCAAAAAGAAAAAUAUAACUACAUUGAAACAUCUAUUUAAGAUAUCUGUAAUAAAUAAAAAGAUAUGGAGGAAUAUUAUAUUACUAGUCAAAAACGUUUAUUAGCUGAAAUCAUAGAAGCAUUUACAAAAGUUGUAUAGUCUAUCCUAUAUUACUUGAGAAAGUUGUGGAGGAGUAGUUGUAGUAUUUUUCGGGAAGUAGAAUAUGUAAAAAAAAAAACCAAAAAAAAAAACUAGUAACACGUAACAACUAGAAGCAUAUUCUUGAACCAAUAUGAUGAUCCUAGUCAAAAUCCAUGAACCGAGUUCCAUUCAGCUGAAGUUGACUGAGUUGAAGAGUAAAGGUUGGAUUACCAAGAAAAGAAUCCUUCAGAUGGAAUUCUACCAGAAAAGUUAUUAUAGGAAAGGUCAGUCAAGUCAUAUCCUGCAUGUCAGUAGGAAUCUCAACAACAAGAUGGGUCCUUGAUAGGUUUAGACUGCUCAAUAUCUUCAACUUAGAUAUUGCAGGUGGGAUUUUACAUCGAUAUCUCGUCAUUUAUGUAAUUACCUUUUACAUCGAUGAUCGAUAUGUUACUCAGAGUCUCAGACUGAAAAAUUCAUCAGGAACAUCCCUGCAAGUUCAUCUGGAUAGAUGGAGGAAUGUUUCCAGUGAUGGAGUUGUUCAAUAGGUCUAGACUGUAGAGUUUCAAGGGAAGUUUACCCGACCGAGUUGUGAUUAAGCUCAAUAAUAUUGGCAUCAUCUGGUACCUGCUCUUGAGGAAUAGAACCCAAAAAAAAAAAUCCAUACGGUAUUGAUCCUUGUAGUUUCCCUCCUUUAUAUAGCUGUUCUGGAACCCGACAUCUAACGUGAUUUAUUGAGACAUCAACCCAAUCUCACUUUCCAUUCUAACCAAGAUUUGUGUAAGAUAAGAGUUGAAGUUGUUUCCCCAUAGCUGUAAUUUACUAAGAUUAAGGAGCUCAGAGAUGGAAUCAGGGAUUUUACCUUCAUAUAGGUUGACAAAAUCAAGUUUCUUUAACUGGGAAAAACUUUCAGGUAUUAUACUAGCUGGUAUAUGACCUGUGGUGUUGUUAAAAUGCAGAUAAAGAACCUUUAGUUCACUCUGAUAUCUUAAAAUUUGAAGGGAUUGUGCUUGAAAGGCCACAAGAAGUGGCAUCAAGAACUCGAAGUGACUUUAAAUAGCCGCAUUCGUAAGAGAUACCUCCCUCAGAAAGUGUUGUAGCAACCCACAUACCCGAAGAUUCAACAGACGACGCAAACCCCAAGGAAGUUUACCAGUAAUGCUAUUGAGACCUCUUAAGUUUACAAGCUCAGAGUAUGUGAAUAGAGUCUUAAGUUUAGGCAGCAGGCAAGUGAAGUUGUCAUAAGCAUCCAAAAACUCGCAAUUGAGUCAUUUUGUUUGUUAAUUUUGAAGGGAAAUGCCCACUUAUGUUGUUGCCUGAAAUGUUGAGCGUUAAGUUUGUCCUUCCAGCGGGAGAGUGCCUGUCAGAUUGGUUAAAGCUAACACCAGAGUCUGAAGCUGACUGAACUGUCCUUUAUCGGGUGGAAUUAUUCCAGAUAGAGGAGUUUGAGUAAUAUCUAAAGAGAUUACUCGAGAGCUCGUCACAUGAUACUCCUGACAGCAACCAAUACGAUAUUGGAGAUAAAUAUUGUUUCCAAUCUUCAAGGCCUGAGCCCUGAGAUCCUACAAAAGAUGCCUUUAGUUUUACUAGGGGAUCGAGUUCAGAGUAGCCAUAGCAGCAAGUGAAAGAACGGAGUAAAAGUAUCGGUAAAUUUUGCAGCAAGGAACUAUAAUUAACCAUCAAGUUUACAUAAUAUCACCUACUAGUUCCAAAAGCAUAUGCCGCUUACAAAAAUGGGGGAUUCAACAACUCUAAGAACCAUAGUGUAUCCUUAGAGAUUGCGCCCAAACUAUAAGGUAGCAAGUUUAAUCCACAAAAACUUACGACCACAACACGAGGUAAA